GGCAGCAUGGUCUUAGCUUGCUAAGGCUGAUGGCGACCGGCGCACGGGUGAGUAACACGUAUCCAACCUGCCGCCUACUCUUGGCCAGCCUUCUGAAAGGAAGAUUAAUCCAGGAUGGCAUCAUGAGUUCACAUGUCCGCAUGAUUAAAGGUAUUUUCCGGUAGACGAUGGGGAUGCGUUCCAUUAGAUAGUAGGCGGGGUAACGGCCCACCUAGUCAACGAUGGAUAGGGGUUCUGAGAGGAAGGUCCCCCACAUUGGAACUGAGACACGGUCCAAACUCCUACGGGAGGCAGCAGUGAGGAAUAUUGGUCAAUGGGCGAUGGCCUGAACCAGCCAAGUAGCGUGAAGGAUGACUGCCCUAUGGGUUGUAAACUUCUUUUAUAAAGGAAUAAAGUCGGGUAUGCAUACCCGUUUGCAUGUACUUUAUGAAUAAGGAUCGGCUAACUCCGUGCCAGCAGCCGCGGUAAUACGGAGGAUCCGAGCGUUAUCCGGAUUUAUUGGGUUUAAAGGGAGCGUAGAUGGAUGUUUAAGUCAGUUGUGAGAGUUUGCGGCUCAACCGUAAAAUUGCAGUUGAUACUGGAUGUCUUGAGUGCAGUUGAGGCAGGCGGAAUUGCGUGGUGUAGCGGUGAAAUGCUUAGAUAUCACGAAGAACUCCGAUUGCGAAGGCAGCCUGCUAAGCUGCAACUGACAU
RNAcentral lists this ribosomal RNA (692 nucleotides) under uncultured Bacteroidales bacterium. RNAcentral describes it as "bacterial SSU rRNA". It matches the Rfam family "Bacterial small subunit ribosomal RNA", at positions 68 to 746 of the family's 1533-position model. The record is from RNAcentral. Lineage: Bacteria; Pseudomonadati; Bacteroidota; Bacteroidia; Bacteroidales.